UGUUUAAACAGUUCCUUUGCGGCACCCUCUAAUCUCCAAGGAUGAUUGAAACCCAACUCUGGGGCUCACAGAUUGGGUCUUCGGGAAGCAACCAGUACCAGAUAAGGUCUAGAGCCCCCAUGGUUGGCUUUCUGUUGGAUUUGUAAGAAGAGAGGAACCUGAACACGCAGACUGGGAACUCUGCCUGUAAGAAUGUCACGGCCAAACUGCCUCCUCACUGUGGCACCAGAAUGAGGAUCAAAAUUAAAGUUUUCUUCUGAAAAA
RNAcentral lists this long non-coding RNA (264 nucleotides) under Rattus norvegicus (Norway rat). RNAcentral describes it as "long non-coding RNA NONRATT014257". Lineage: Eukaryota; Metazoa; Chordata; Mammalia; Rodentia; Muridae. The record is from RNAcentral.